Non-coding RNA from Pelobates cultripes (western spadefoot toad), 660 nucleotides. Lineage: Eukaryota; Metazoa; Chordata; Amphibia; Anura; Pelobatidae. The record is from the annotation of a GenBank genome assembly.
GUAGAUUUUAUUUUCUUGCUAUUUUUCCCUAAAACGCGUUGUUUCCCAGCUUGGGCAUUUUAUCACAAUGUCUGAUUUAGUGAAUAUAUUUUUUAUACAUCUGAGGCAGCGGAAGCAGGGCCCUUAUAUGGGACCACCAAGGAAUGAAAACAAGGCUCAUUUCACAAGCUUGCCACCUGACCUUUAAAGUUUUUGUACAUUCUUACUCUUAAACAAACACAUUUUUUUUUAAACUGGGGCUGGUGGGACUGCACCCAAAGACUCACCAUAACCACUGCAAUAAACUGCUAUUGUCAAUAGAGUAUCCCUUUAAGCAAACAUUGUUAUUAUAAUUAUUGUUGGAAUUUAUAUAACGCCAACAUAUUCCGCAGCGUUUUACAAUAUUAUGAAAGGGGGAAGUUUAACAAUAAAUGAGACCAUUACAAUAUGUUACAGGAACAAUAAAUAGAGGUCAAUAAACAUGACUUGUUUACGUUUCCUAUAUCCAAAAUUCAAUGUGAAUGUUCUGACAGCAUCUUUAAACACGAAAAUAACCUCUGUAUACAAUGUGUUGCUUUAUCCGUUGAUGAUGGCAAUGUGUUUUUUUUUCUCAUGGUCCCCCCCAAUAAAAAUGGGUGACGUAGCGCAUCCAUCGUACCAGACUUGGGAUUUCUUUUUUUG